This 864-nucleotide ribosomal RNA is filed under the name uncultured Bacteroidota bacterium. RNAcentral's name for it is "bacterial SSU rRNA". It matches the Rfam family "Bacterial small subunit ribosomal RNA", at positions 11 to 865 of the family's 1533-position model. Lineage: Bacteria; Pseudomonadati; Bacteroidota. The record is from RNAcentral.
CUUUGAUCAUGGCUCAGGAUGAACGCUAGCUACAGGCUUAACACAUGCAAGUCGAGGGGAAACGAUAUUGGAGGCUUGCUUCCGAUAGGCGUCGACCGGCGCACGGGUGAGUAACGCGUAUCCAACCUGCCCAUCACUUGGGGAUAACCUUGCGAAAGUAAGACUAAUACCCAAUGACGUCUCUAGAAGACAUCUGAAAGAGAUUAAAGAUUUAUCGGUGAUGGAUGGGGAUGCGUCUGAUUAGCUUGUUGGCGGGGUAACGGCCCACCAAGGCAACGAUCAGUAGGGGUUCUGAGAGGAAGGUCCCCCACAUUGGAACUGAGACACGGUCCAAACUCCUACGGGAGGCAGCAGUGAGGAAUAUUGGUCAAUGGACGAGAGUCUGAACCAGCCAAGUAGCGUGCAGGAUGACGGCCCUAUGGGUUGUAAACUGCUUUUAUAAGGGAAUAAAGUGAGUCUCGUGAGACUUUUUGCAUGUACCUUAUGAAUAAGGACCGGCUAAUUCCGUGCCAGCAGCCGCGGUAAUACGGAAGGUCCGGGCGUUAUCCGGAUUUAUUGGGUUUAAAGGGAGCGUAGGCCGGAGAUUAAGCGUGUUGUGAAAUGUAGACGCUCAACGUCUGCACUGCAGCGCGAACUGGUUUCCUUGAGUACGCACAAAGUGGGCGGAAUUCGUGGUGUAGCGGUGAAAUGCUUAGAUAUCACGAAGAACUCCGAUUGCGAAGGCAGCUCACUGGAGCGCAACUGACGCUGAAGCUCGAAAGUGCGGGUAUCGAACAGGAUUAGAUACCCUGGUAGUCCGCACGGUAAACGAUGGAUGCCCGCUGUUGGUCUGAAUAGGUCAGCGGCCAAGCGAAAGCAUUAAGC